GAUGAAGAACGCAGUGAAAUGCGAUAAGUAAUGUGAAUUGCAGAAUUCAGUGAAUCAUCGAAUCUUUGAACGCACAUUGCGCCCCCUGGUAUUCCGGGGGGCAUGCCUGUCCGAGCGUCAUUGCAACCUUCAAGCGCGGCUUGUGUGUUGGGUCUCGUCCCCCGUGGACGGGCCCGAAAGGCAGUGGCGGCGUCCCGACAUGGUGCCCGAGCGUAUGGGAAUCCUCUUCCGCUCGAAUCGGCCCAUGCGGCGCUGGUCGUAACCAAAUUUUUUACCGGUUGACCUCGGAUCAGGUAGGGAUACCCGCUGAACUUAAGCAUAUCAAUAAGCGGAGGA
This 336-nucleotide unclassified non-coding RNA is filed under the name soil metagenome. RNAcentral's name for it is "partial contains 5.8S ribosomal RNA, internal transcribed spacer 2, and large subunit ribosomal RNA". The stretch from base 1 to 120 matches the Rfam family "5.8S ribosomal RNA", at positions 35 to 154 of the family's 154-position model. The record is from RNAcentral.